AGUAAACACAGUUGUGGGUUUCAGUGUCCAACUUUGACCAUUCGUCUUAUUUCAAAUAUUUUUAUGAUUAGUAUUUUUAUUGUUAUUAGAUGAUAAAAUAUGAAUAGUGUUUUAUGUGUGACUUAACUUUUAGAAAUUUUUCAUAUUUUUUUUAAAUAAGACAGACGGUCAAACGUUUGGUACGGAAACUUAUGGCCGCACUUAUA
Molecule: microRNA precursor, 206 nt
Organism: Oryza sativa Indica Group (long-grained rice)
Lineage: Eukaryota; Viridiplantae; Streptophyta; Magnoliopsida; Poales; Poaceae
Rfam family: MIR812 microRNA precursor family
Source: Rfam